Molecule: long non-coding RNA, 201 nt
Filed under: Ananas comosus (pineapple)
Lineage: Eukaryota; Viridiplantae; Streptophyta; Magnoliopsida; Poales; Bromeliaceae
Description: long non-coding RNA (ACOM_LNC025256)
Source: RNAcentral
UAGAUAAUACGCUAUCCGCUUCGUUUAUUUCAUUUAGAAAUAAAUUUAGUUAGAAAUGUGAAUCAACUAGGAUUCGAAUUUAGGUCUCGGAUAUCAAUCACCAAACCCUUUGCCACUUGCUCUAGGGACGGUCGGUCAACCGGCAAUGUGUUGGCACGUGCAGUAGCAUACGUAAUUCGAUCAGUCUAAACCCAGAGGUGG